This 504-nucleotide ribosomal RNA is filed under the name uncultured Glomus. Its description in RNAcentral is "SSU rRNA". It matches the Rfam family "Eukaryotic small subunit ribosomal RNA", at positions 569 to 1079 of the family's 1831-position model. Lineage: Eukaryota; Fungi; Glomeromycota; Glomeromycetes; Glomerales; Glomeraceae. The record is from RNAcentral.
AGCAGCCGCGGUAAUUCCAGCUCCAAUAGCGUAUAUUAAAGUUGUUGCAGUUAAAAAGCUCGUAGCUGAAUUUCGGGAUCAAGGGAUCGGUCAUGCCUUGGUAUGUACUGGUCUUAUUGGUUCUCACCUUCUAAAGAACCAUGAUGUCAUUCAUUUGAUGUUAUGGGGAAUUAGGACUGUUACCUUGAAAAAAUUAGAGUGUUUAAAGCAAGCUUACGCUUGAAUACAUUAGCAUGGAAUAAUGAAAUAAGACAUCAGAUUCUAUUUUGUUGGUUUCUAGGAUCGAUGUAAUGAUUAAUAGGGAUAGUUGGGGGCAUUAGUAUUCAAUUGUCAGAGGUGAAAUUCUUGGAUUUAUUGAAGACUAACUACUGCGAAAGCAUUUGCCAAGGAUGUUUUCAUUAAUCAAGAACGAAGUUAGGGGAUCGAAGACGAUCAGAUACCGUCGUAGUCUUAACCAUAAACUAUGCCGACUAGGGAUCGGAUGAUGUUAAUUUUUUAAUGUAC